Molecule: ribosomal RNA, 481 nt
Filed under: uncultured bacterium
Lineage: Bacteria
Description: partial 16S ribosomal RNA
Rfam family: Bacterial small subunit ribosomal RNA
Source: RNAcentral
GAUGAACGCUGGCGGCGUGCCUAACACAUGCAAGUCGAACGGAGAUUACGGACGGAAGUUUUCGGAUGGAAGCCUGUAAUUCUUAGUGGCGGACGGGUGAGUAACGCGUGGGCAACCUGCCCUAUACAGGGGGAUAGCAGCUGGAAACGGCUGGUAAGACCGCAUAAGUCGGUUAAAUCGCAUGAUUUGAUCGGGAAAUGAGCAAUCAGGUAUAGGAUGGGCCCGCGUCCGAUUAGCCAGUUGGCAGGGUAAAAGCCUACCAAAGCGACGAUCGGUAGCCGGACUGAGAGGUCGGACGGCCACAUUGGGACUGAGACACGGCCCAAACUCCUGCGGGAGGCAGCAGUGGGGGAUAUUGCACAAUGGAGGAAACUCUGAUGCAGCGACGCCGCGUGAGUGAAGAAGUAUUUCGGUAUGUAAAGCUCUAUCAGCAGGGAAGAUGAUGACGGUACCUGACUAAGAAGCCCCGGCUAACUACGUG